AUUAGGGCUCUGGUGGCGGCGGCGGCAGACACUUGGGGUCUGGACGCAACGGAGGCGGGAGCGUGAACGCCCCUCCAGCCUUCGAGUCGUUCUUGCUCUUCGAGGGCGAGAAGAAGAUCACCAUUAACAAGGACACCAAGGUACCCAAUGCCUGUUUAUUCACCAUCAACAAAGAAGACCACACACUGGGAAACAUCAUUAAAUCACGUGCCUGCUUCCCCUUCGCCUUCUGCCGUGAUUGUCAGUUUCCUGAGGCCUCCCCAGCCACGCUUUCUGUACAGCCUGCAGAACUCUGCCCCAGAGCACAUCAGCUAUGUGCCCCAGCUCUCAAACGACACCCUGGCGGGGAGGCUCACCCUGUCCACCUUCACGCUGGAGCAGCCUCUAGGCCAGUUCAGCAGCCACAACAUCUCUGACUUGGAUACCAUCUGGCUGGUGGUGGCCCUCAGCAACGCCACCCAGAGCUUCACGGCCCCACGGACAAACCAGGACAUCCCUGCUCCUGCCAACUUCUCCCAGAGGGGCUACUAUCUCACACUGAGGGCCAACCGGGUGCUGUACCAGGCCAGAGGCCAGCUCCAUGUCCUCCGUGUUGGCAAUGAUACCCACUGCCAACCAACAAAAAUUGGCUGCAACCAUCCCCUACCAGGACCGAGCCCCUACAGGGUGAAGUUCCUGGUGAUGAAUGACAAAGGACCCGUGGCUGAAACAAAGUGGUCCAGCAACACUCGCCUGCAGCAAGGACAGCCACAGUGUGGAAGACCCUGUGCCCCUUCUGGGGUGAGGAGUACCAAGUGCACCUGCCGCCCACCUUCCACGCUGUGGCUUUCUACGUCAUGGAUGAGGAUGCCCUCAGCCGGGACGACGUUAUCGGAAAGGUCUGCCUUACAAGGGACACCAUAGCUUCUCACCCUAAGGAUCAUGAAGAAGUCAUGCUACCCACGCUGGAAUGAGACGUUUGAAUUUGAGCUGCA
Molecule: long non-coding RNA, 974 nt
Filed under: Homo sapiens (human)
Lineage: Eukaryota; Metazoa; Chordata; Mammalia; Primates; Hominidae
Description: non-protein coding lnc-URGCP-2:1
Source: RNAcentral